This 465-nucleotide ribosomal RNA is filed under the name uncultured Klebsiella sp. Its description in RNAcentral is "bacterial SSU rRNA". It matches the Rfam family "Bacterial small subunit ribosomal RNA", at positions 338 to 795 of the family's 1533-position model. The record is from RNAcentral. Lineage: Bacteria; Pseudomonadati; Pseudomonadota; Gammaproteobacteria; Enterobacterales; Enterobacteriaceae.
CCUACGGGUGGCAGCAGUGGGGAAUAUUGCACAAUGGGCGCAAGCCUGAUGCAGCCAUGCCGCGUGUGUGAAGAAGGCCUUCGGGUUGUAAAGCACUUUCAGCGGGGAGGAAGGCGUUAAGGUUAAUAACCUUGUCGAUUGACGUUACCCGCAGAAGAAGCACCGGCUAACUCCGUGCCAGCAGCCGCGGUAAUACGGAGGGUGUAAGCGUUAAUCGGAAUUACCGGGCGUAAAGCGCACGCAGGCGGUCUGUCAAGUCGGAUGUGAAAUCCCCGGGCUCAACCUGGGAACUGCAUUCGAAACUGGCAGGCUAGAGUCUUGUAGAGGGGGGUAGAAUUCCAGGUGUAGCGGUGAAAUGCGUAGAGAUCUGGAGGAAUACCGGUGGCGAAGGCGGCCCCCUGGACAAAGACUGACGCUCAGGUGCGAAAGCGUGGGGAGCAAACAGGAUUAGAUACCCGAGUAGUC